Molecule: RNA transcript, 1757 nt
Organism: Oryza sativa Japonica Group (Japanese rice)
Lineage: Eukaryota; Viridiplantae; Streptophyta; Magnoliopsida; Poales; Poaceae
Gene name: protein SENSITIVE TO PROTON RHIZOTOXICITY 1
Source: RefSeq, a predicted model, not a curated record
ACAAACCUCAAAGCCGUCAAACGCGUCGUGAUGCCAAAGCGAAGUUAGAAAAAAAAAAGGUUGGGAAAUGAAGUCCACCACCCACCUACUCGCCGGCGGCGGUGGCGGCGGCUCCGUCGCGCCACCAACGGCUGCCACGGCGCCGACGCUGGCCAUGGAAGUAGGGGAUCCCUCUGGCGCCCUCGUCGGCGGGGCCGGCGGCGCCGGAGCCGGAGGAGGAGACGGGGAUGCCCGCGACGCGCUCCUCCGGUUGGUUGCUCUCGGCGACCGCAUGGCCGCCGUCCGCCGCCGCAUCGCCGCAUCUAUAUCCGGAGAAUCCGGGCCCCUCUCUUCCUCCGACAUCCACUCCGUCUCCUCCGAGAUCUCCUCCGCUGCCCACCUCGUCGUCCUCAACGCCGCCUCCCUCCUCUCUUCCACCGUCGCCUCCCUCCCGGCUCCACCUCCGCCUCCGGCUACUACCGUCCAGGAGCUCCCCCCCGUGGUGGUCUCCGUGCCUCAGGAACCCCCGCAAGAAGCAGCCAAGGGCGACGGCGACUACGACGUCGUCGAGCUCGACGCCUCCGAGCUUCUCGCGGAGCACGUCCACUUCUGCGACAUCUGCGGCAAGGGGUUCCGCCGCGACGCCAACCUCCGGAUGCACAUGCGCGCCCACGGCGACCGCUUCAAGACCCUGGACGCGCUCUCCAGGCCCGGCCAGCCGAAGCCGCCUGCCGGCCGGGAGGUGCGGUUCUCGUGCCCCUACGCCGGCUGCAACCGGAACCGCGCGCACCGCCGCUUCCGGCCGCUCAAGUCGGCCGUGUGCGCGCGCAACCACUUCCGGCGGAGCCACUGCCCCAAGCUCUACGCCUGCGAGCGCUGCGGCGGCAAGAAGCGCUUCGCCGUCCUCGCCGACCUCCGGAGCCACCUCCGCCACUGCGGCGAGGAGGCGCAGUGGCGCUGCUCCUGCGGCACCACCUUCUCCCGCAAGGACAAGCUGUUCGGCCAUCUCGCUCUCUUCGAAGGCCACACGCCGGCGAUCGCCGAGCCGAACAAGGGUGUGGCGACAGCGGCUGCAGAGGCAUCGAUUUCUAUGAUGGAGGAAGGAGGAGUUGAAGCGAAUUGUGAUCGAGAGGAGGAUGAGGAGGGUGGUUUUGAUCCGAAGUUCUUCCAGGAGUGGAUGGAGGAGCUCAGAGGUGGCGCUGUUGCCCCCAAUUGGUCUGCGCCGUCAGAAGCUGGACAUUAGCAGUGCAGCAAGAGCAAUUUGGGUAUACUGAAUGAGAUAAAUUCCACAUGAUCGGAUGAAUCAUGUCUGAUGGUUUUCUGGUACCUCACAGGAGGUAACAGGCCUAUGGUAGGAAGAGAUGACUGAGAAGAUGAAUGAAGAAGGGUCCUGUGAAGAACAGACCUUCCCCCGGCUUGCCUCUGUCUCUCUCUCUCUCUCUCUUCCCCUGGUCUCCCCAUCUUUUACCGCUCGCUGUUAGCCUGUUAUGCAACUCUCUUUUACCCAUGACAAGGAUCUUUAUAACCUGGAAAGUAGUGGUAUCUGUUUCCGAAGCAGUCGAAAUACCAAAUGAUGAAAGAUAUUAACCGUUGGUACAUCGUGUUGUAUGCUCAUUGUGUAUGUCUUCAUGAUUCAGCUUUCUACGGUAGUGUAGAUACAGGUUUCUACACGUUACAGUAGUAUUAAACACAACAUCAGCACCCAACACUGUAACGAACACCAUACAUGUGAGAUCUUACAAUUGAUCGAGGUGAAGUCACACUGAAGGCUUCUGGCA